AAUCUGGCCCCCCCGGGGUCCGAGUUGUAAUUUGUAGAGGAUGUUUUGGGUACCGCCCCGGUCUAAAUUUCUUGGAACAGAAUGUCAGAGAGGGUGAGAAUCCCGUCUUGGGCCGGCGGUAGGGCCUGUGUAAAACUCCUUCGACGAGUCGAGUUGUUUGGGAAUGCAGCUCAAAAUGGGUGGUAAAUUUCAUCUAAAGCUAAAUAUUGGCCGGAGACCGAUAGCGCACAAGUAGAGUGAUCGAAAGAUGAAAAGCACUUUGAAAAGAGAGUUAAACAGUAUGUGAAAUUGUUGAAAGGGAAGCGCUUGCAACCAGACUUGAGCGUGGCGGUUCCCCUAGCCUUUUGGCUCGGUUACUCCGUCAUGUCCAGGCCAACAUCGGUUCUGGGGGUCGGUUAAAGGCCCCGGGAAUGUAUCUACCCACGGGUAGACUUAUAGACCGGGGCGUCAUGCGGCCUCUCAGGACCGAGGAACGCGCUUCGGCUCGGAUGUUGGCGUAAUGGUUGUCAGCGACCCG
RNAcentral lists this ribosomal RNA (517 nucleotides) under Cladophialophora abundans. RNAcentral's name for it is "eukaryotic LSU rRNA". It matches the Rfam family "Eukaryotic large subunit ribosomal RNA", at positions 119 to 651 of the family's 3401-position model. The record is from RNAcentral. Lineage: Eukaryota; Fungi; Ascomycota; Eurotiomycetes; Chaetothyriales; Herpotrichiellaceae.